Molecule: ribosomal RNA, 253 nt
Filed under: uncultured bacterium
Lineage: Bacteria
Description: partial 16S ribosomal RNA
Rfam family: Bacterial small subunit ribosomal RNA
Source: RNAcentral
UACGUAGGGUGCAAGCGUUGUCCGGAAUUACUGGGCGUAAAGAGCUCGUAGGUGGUUUGUCGCGUUGUUCGUGAAAACCGGGGGCUUAACCCUCGGCGUGCGGGCGAUACGGGCAGACUUGAGUACUGCAGGGGAGACUGGAAUUCCUGGUGUAGCGGUGGAAUGCGCAGAUAUCAGGAGGAACACCGGUGGCGAAGGCGGGUCUCUGGGCCUUACCUGACGCUGAGGAGCGAAAGCAUGGGGAGCGAACAGG